AGGUAAACCCCACCCGGAGCAAGGCCAAAUAGGAAUCCACAGGCGCUGCCCGCGCCGGAUUCGGGUAGGCCGCAUGAGGGCUGUGGCGACGCAGUUCCCAGAUGAAUGAUUGUCCACGACAGAACCCGGCUUACCGGUCGGCUCUCACU
Molecule: RNase P RNA, 149 nt
Filed under: Pseudomonadales bacterium
Lineage: Bacteria; Pseudomonadati; Pseudomonadota; Gammaproteobacteria; Pseudomonadales
Description: partial RNase P RNA component class A
Rfam family: Bacterial RNase P class A
About the family: Ribonuclease P (RNase P) is a ubiquitous endoribonuclease, found in archaea, bacteria and eukarya as well as chloroplasts and mitochondria. Its best characterised activity is the generation of mature 5'-ends of tRNAs by cleaving the 5'-leader elements of precursor-tRNAs.
Source: RNAcentral